RNAcentral lists this non-coding RNA (88 nucleotides) under unclassified sequences. The record is from RNAcentral.
UCAAAUGCGCCACCGGGUGCAAUCAACUCAAGUACAUCACCAAACUUCGUUAGGUCUAAGAAGAAGUUUGGCGGUGUACUUUUUUCGU